This 333-nucleotide ribosomal RNA is filed under the name uncultured bacterium. Its description in RNAcentral is "partial 16S ribosomal RNA". It matches the Rfam family "Bacterial small subunit ribosomal RNA", at positions 338 to 682 of the family's 1533-position model. The record is from RNAcentral.
CCUACGGGUGGCAGCAGUCGAGAAUCAUUCACAAUGGGGGAAACCCUGAUGGGGCGACGCCGCGUGGGGGAAUGAAGGUCUGCGGAUUGUAAACCCCUGUCAUGUGGGAGCAAAUUAAAAAGAUAGUACCACAAGAGGAAGAGACGGCUAACGCUGUGCCAGCAGCCGCGGUAAGACAGAGGUCUCAAGCGUUGUUCGGAAUCACUGGGCGUAAAGCGUGCGUAGGCGGUUUCGUAAGUCGUGUGUGAAGGGCGCGGGCUCAACCCGCGGACGGCCCAUGAUACUGCGAGACUAGAGUAAUGGUGGGGGAACCGGACUUCUCGGUGUAGCCGU